CAAGAUAUGAUCUGAACUCGCGCAGAGAAAGAAUGAUCUUGAGAGGAGGCAGAAAGAGUUGUCUUUAUCUUUGGAGAGAGAGUCGUCGUUGGAACGUUCUAGGGCUCAGCUUGAAUUAGAUUAGCAGCGCAGAUAUGAAUAGGAAAAAGAACUGGGUAUGAUAAACAAGAAGAACUAGUUAAGAAUUUAACACAAGGCAAAGAAGAGGCGUUAUCGUUGGUGUAACAACAGAAACGUGAACUGCUUCACAAGGAUAGUGUUAUCCAUAUUUUGAAGACACAAAGAGAUGAAUCAGUUUCUAUCCUCAAGCUUCAUGGACUAACCGUGCCUUCCCAAAUAUCAGGUGAGUUUUACACCUUGAUUGUAGGUAGAUUGUAAACGCUUAGCGUUCGGUUUUUAUACGGCGUAUAUGGGGCCCUAGCUCUUCCAGCUGGGCAGAUUAAC
This is a long non-coding RNA of Dendronephthya gigantea, 444 nucleotides long. RefSeq lists it as uncharacterized. The record is from RefSeq and is a predicted model, not a curated record. The transcript has 3 exons. NCBI's taxonomy places the organism in Eukaryota, Metazoa, Cnidaria, Anthozoa, Malacalcyonacea, Nephtheidae.